Molecule: long non-coding RNA, 314 nt
Filed under: Aquilegia coerulea
Lineage: Eukaryota; Viridiplantae; Streptophyta; Magnoliopsida; Ranunculales; Ranunculaceae
Description: long non-coding RNA (ACOE_LNC000930)
Source: RNAcentral
CCAUUAAUACUGUUUAUCCAAAGCUUUUCUUGCCAUAAUUAGUGAUCAGCUGAAAAGUUAACCGCUUAGUUCCACCUGAAUUACCAAGAGAUACCUAUUAGAGUUUCAUCUAAGCUUUCAAUUUCCAGAUCUGGUGUAAGACAAACACACUCUUUAUCAUCUUUCUCAUCUUUGGAUCAUUGGAUCUUUGGAAUCCUAUGCUUGAAUUGAUCAGACUGAAUAGUACAGCAGCAGCUUGCUAGUCAAAUUAAUCAUUCAUACUACAUACCCAGUCCAUUAAAGUAGAAAGUGGGAAUCUGUUGCAACUUUGUCUA